UAAAAAUUAGUGGCAGACGGGUGAGUAAUGCAUAGGAAUCUACCUAGUAGUAUGGGAUAGCCACUAGAAAUGGUGGGUAAUACUGUAUAAUCCCUGCGGGGGAAAGAUUUAUCGCUAUUAGAUGAGCCUAUGUUAGAUUAGCUAGUUGGUAGGGUAAAGGCCUACCAAGGCAGUGAUCUAUAGCUGGUCUGAGAGGAUGAUCAGCCACACUGGAACUGAGAUACGGUCCAGACUCCUACGGGAGGCAGCAGUGGGGAAUAUUGGACAAUGGGCGCAAGCCUGAUCCAGCUAUGCCGCGUGAGUGAGGAAGGCCUUAGGGUUGUAAAACUCUUUCAGUGGGGAAGAUAAUGACGGUACCCACAGAAGAAGUCCCGGCAAACUCCGUGCCAGCAGCCGCGGUAAUACGGAGGGGGCAAGCGUUGUUCGGAAUUAUUGGGCGUAAAGGGCAUGUAGGCGGUUCGGUAAGUUAAAGGUGAAAUGCC
This 482-nucleotide ribosomal RNA is filed under the name uncultured Anaplasma sp. RNAcentral's name for it is "bacterial SSU rRNA". It matches the Rfam family "Bacterial small subunit ribosomal RNA", at positions 86 to 603 of the family's 1533-position model. Lineage: Bacteria; Pseudomonadati; Pseudomonadota; Alphaproteobacteria; Rickettsiales; Anaplasmataceae. The record is from RNAcentral.